Molecule: long non-coding RNA, 1022 nt
Organism: Pyrus x bretschneideri (Chinese white pear)
Lineage: Eukaryota; Viridiplantae; Streptophyta; Magnoliopsida; Rosales; Rosaceae
Exons: 2
Source: RefSeq, a predicted model, not a curated record
CUUUCUCUCAACUCUCUCACAACACACCCUCACCAUUUCUGCAAACACCCAACCUUUAGGCCCGAGAGCCUUCGCUAUAACCAUUUCCAUUUCCCCAACAAAUCGAACCUCAAAUUCACAUAUCUGAGAUCUCAUCGAGUCGCCGAUGGAACUUUGCCAUUCCCACCUGAGAGCCUUGAGUCCUAAAUCGAAACUAGAUCUUUUCGGCGAACCCGACGGCUUGCGAGUCAAUUUCCUGCCAGUUUUGAUCGGCCAACCCUCAAAAUGCUAAUUUCUUGUUCCCCUCUACUUUAGCUUUAUUGUGGUUCAAAAAUCACCUGAAAUGGUGAAGAUUUGACCCCAGAUCGCAGCCCCAGGGAAUUUCCGGGCGAAAACCCUUGAUUUUCUGAUUUUCUUCUUCGUGGGGUCGAGCGACCUGCGAGUGCAAUCGGGUCGACCCAACCCACAUCCAUAAUCCAGGCCCAUAACCAAAUUUGUUUUCAGCCCAAUCCAUCAACCCAAUUAACCUGGUCCAUUUCUUCAAGCCCAAAACCUUUAACCGAUAAACGAGGCCCAAGUCUCUUGACCCACUAACUCCGGCCCAAUCCCUCAAUCCAUUAGCCCAAGCCCAAAGACUCUCGGCCCAACCCAGCCAAACCAGUCCAACCCAUCCGACCCAACCUGUUGACUUUGACGCUUUGACUCGAUACAUUGACUUUGACCCGUUGACCAUUGACUUUCUAGUAAACGUUGAUCGUUGACUAGUCAACGUUGACUUUUGGGUUGACUUUUUUGGGUUUCGAUCGGGACAUCUCUUAGACUAAUUUCAACGUCCUAAUUCCAAAUCUACACUUCAUUUUCACAAAUUCAAUCGCUUUGGUCGCAUUUUAUUAAAUAGUCUCUAUUUGUGUAUAGGUGCAAUGGUAGAAGAUGAUCCAGUCCUCCCUAGUUCGAGCGGCUCCCCGAGAGCGGAGUAUUUGUGGGUGGACCCCUUCUUAAAUGAAUAUUUUAUAACUAUCAGUCUAGCAUGCAUUCCUAUUUCA